CUCCUAGAUGCUGGCACCGAAGCCGGGGGGACAGCCGGUGUGGAGGACGGAGAGCGCCACUGCCUGAGGGCUGGCCGGCUAGGUAGCGGGAAACCAGCUUCUCUGACCGAAGCUCUGGACUCUGCUGAUCCGGAGCGCUGAAGUGUGUCCGGUGCCACCCUGAUGCUCUCCUGGGAGUUGUGUUGCUCCUGGCUGAGAAAUAGACUUACUUCUUUCUUAGAUAGCGCUCCUGCGAGUGAUUUUCAGGACGCUGGAUGCUAAGACUAGACGAAGGAAGCCAAAGCCCCCGCGAGUCAGGCAGGCCGGUGUCACGGCCCUAUGAUUAUGGCAAGGGGGACCCUCUGCCUGGCUGCUGUUUCCUGAGACCCGUUCGGAACCUCACGUGUACCUCGAAGUUCACCGUUUUCCUCCCAAAGAACCUGGCUAAAUGUUCAUAAUGGCUGAGUUUUAUUUUGGGACAUAAUUUCUUUGGUUCUUCACCACCACUUUUUGGAGAGUGGUAAUGUCUUCCUCUUUUUGCUUUAGGAGAAAGACAGAAUAAUAAGCUGAAUAGAUCUGACCAUUGGCUUUCAGCUGGCCAGGACCUUCUAUGUAGCUCUCCUUUUGUGGCCCAUGUGCUGCAUCCUCUGCCCUCAGUGUGCAACUGGCCCCCAACGCAAUGUGUGUUUGUCAAACCAUGGAAGUGGG
Molecule: small RNA, 687 nt
Filed under: Pongo abelii (Sumatran orangutan)
Lineage: Eukaryota; Metazoa; Chordata; Mammalia; Primates; Hominidae
Description: processed transcript
Source: RNAcentral